This is an RNA transcript of Macadamia integrifolia, 2918 nucleotides long. RefSeq lists it as uncharacterized. The record is from RefSeq and is a predicted model, not a curated record. The transcript is spliced from 13 exons. Lineage: Eukaryota; Viridiplantae; Streptophyta; Magnoliopsida; Proteales; Proteaceae.
ACCCCAGGUAGUACGACGACAGUGAAACUCUCUCUCUCAUAUCUUACGAGUUACGAAUUACGAUAGAGAAGCAAAUUUGAGAAAGAGGAAAAGGAAAACUAAGGAGGAAACAAAUGGAAUCAAUCUCUGUUAAUUGGGAAGCUCUGGAUUCUCUGCUUAUAGAGUUUGCUAAAUCUGAAAACUUGGUUGAAGAUUUAGACGACUCUUCUCCUUCCUCCAAAUCUUCUCCGUCUUCUCCUCUUUCGUCUUCUUAUCGCUCUCGUUUGCUUAUCCAUCAGAUCCGACGAUCACUGGAAAUUGGUGACGUCGAUGCUGCAAUCGAGCUUCUUCGUAAACAUGCUCCAUUCAUCCUGGAUGAUCAUCGACUCCUCUUCCGAUUACAGAAGCAGAAAUUCAUAGAGCUUCUAAGGAAAGGGACAGCAAAAGGCCGUGAUUCUGCCGUUGAGUGCUUGCGGACAGCUCUUGCUCCUUGCGCUCUUGACGCCUAUCCGGAAGCAUAUGAGGAGUUUAAACAUGUUCUUCUUGCAUUAAUAUUUAACAAGGAUGAUCAGACCUCUCCUGUGGCCCAUGAGUGGUCUGAAAGGAGGAGGAUUGAUACUGCGGGAUUGUUAUCCUCUUUUUUAAGAGCAAACCUACAAGCUUAUGACCCGGUCUUCUCUAUGACUUUGAGAUACCUGAUAAGCAUACAUAAAGGAUUUUGCUUUCGUCAGGGUAUAUCAUCACCUAUUUCAGAUCUUACUGAGAGGUUGCUCCUUGAGGAACAUGACCCCCCAGCAACAUCGCAGGAGAGCCUGUAUGAGGCACCUCCAUUUGAUGAGGUUGAUAUACAAGCCCUUGCACAUGCUGUGGAGCUUACAAGACAAGGUGCAGUUGAUAGCUUGCGCUUUGCGAAAGGCGAUUUGUACCAGGCAUUUCAGAAUGAGUUGUGCCGAAUGAAACUGGAUGUUGCAAUGCUUGAUGAGCUUGUUCACGAGUAUUGUGUCUAUAGAGGGAUUGUGGACAGUGGUCUUGCAUCACCAUCUGCAUCGGAUAUGCAUACCCCAGGUAAAUCCCAAAAGAUGUAUGAACCAGAUCCUGUGCUUAGAUCCCCACAAGAUUGUGUUUCGAUCAACAUGGAUUAUCAAACCAUUAAUCAGUCUGAUGCUGAAACAUUCAUUAUUAGAUCUGAAAUGAGUGGUUCUCAAGAAGUGAAUGCUGGAACUAUGAGGAUGGAUGGUACUGACGUUGAGUUGCGAUACACAGAUGAGGCAAUAGGUAAUCAUGAAGACUGCAGCACUAGUGGGGCACAUCAGUCCAAAGUGAACAGAAGGUUUCAAAGGAGUAGAAGUUAUGCAACUGGAGAAAGGAGCAGGUGCAAGCGUUGGAGAGGAAGAGUUGAAGAGCUUGAAACUCUCUCUGAUGAUCCUUCUACAGUUUCCAUGAAUCAUUCUGCGCUUGAGCUUUGCAACAAGAGAAAGGAUCAUAAAUAUGAGAUUUUGCUGGACAUAAAAGAAUUAGCUACUAAAGGAAUGGCUGCUGAGGUUGUGGAAGAAGUAAAAGCAUUUGACCCUAAUUUUUUUGUGCAAAAUCCUAUCCUUUUAUUCCAACUUAAGCAGGUUGAAUUUCUUAAACUGGUCAAGAGCGGUGAUCAAUCUAAUGCUCUUCGGGUUGCCUGCUCUUAUUUGGGUCCUUUGGCAGCAAGUGAUCCAACUUUGCUGAAGCCUUUGAAGGAGACUUUAGUGGCUUUGCUUAAACCUAAUGAAGAUGCUCUAGCAAAAGGCGGACCCUUGUCUGUUCUUGCAACGUCACUUCAAGCUGCAAUGGGUCGGAGGCUUGGCAUUGAAGAACCACAGCUAAUGAAGAUAAUAAGAGCAACACUUCAUACUCAUAAUGAGUGGUUCAGACUCCAAAUGUGUAAAGACCGCUUUGAAGGACUUCUAAGGAUUGAUUCAUUAAAGGAAAUCAAUACUCCUUUACUUACCGAUCCAACCUCAAAGACAAAUGCGGAUACUUGCCUCAAUGGGGCUUCCCAAGUAACUGUCUCCUCAAGCGGCAGGAUGCCUGAAGAUUGUGGAAGCCCAAUUCAUGUGUCCUGUAGAGAUGUCAUCUGUGAUGAAAAUGCAAUACUCAAAGUGAUGAUAUUCUGAAACCCACAAGUGGAGGAGAAGAGAACCAACGGCCCACUGGCCGUGACCAGCCACACGCAUCGGCCACAGCUGCUGGCCCUUGUUCGUCGGCCGCAACAGGCUGCAACAACUGGCCCUUGUUGGUCGGCCGCAAUAGUCUGCAACAACUGGCCCUUGGGGCUUUCUGCGAUUGCAGAUCUAAAAGCAAAUCUGAUUUCAGAUCUGCUGUCUUUGAAGACCAGAAGAAAAGAGAGAGACGAGAAGGGUGGAUCAGAGGUGUAGAUGGAGAAGAAGGGGGAGGAGAAGGGCGAGGGAGGAGAAGGAAAGGAGUUGCAGCAAGCGGGAUAGAGAGUGGAGAAAAAGAGUUAUAAGGAAGAUGGGUGAAGGGGACAUCUCUUCACUCAUUUCUUCAAAUAAACCAUUUUGCACAUAUGGGAAUUUCUUGCUUUGCCGAGGGCUGAUGCGAUCAGUCUUCUAGCGCAAUACAAUGGAAAUGCUGAGGCUGUCAUACAACAAAUAUUUGGAUGAUACACCAUUGGCAAUUGUAGUUUUAUUACACCACUUUUUUUUAUUAUUUUCAUUGAAAAUUAUUUUAUUCAGUUUGUGUCAUAGCCAUCACAUCAUGUGUAUAUAUAUAUAUAUAUAUAUAUAUAAAUAUUUAUAUAUUUAUAUGGCUCGUGGAGCAGUGGAAUUUGUAUCAUCUGCUUCUGAUAGCCACCGCCUUGUACAAUUCCUUCUAAAAUAUUGAUUUUUUUUUUUUAAACCGGAUGUAGUCUAUCCCCGCAAUAAAACUAACAGAAGGUAUUGGAUUGA